AUGCGCUGAGCAUGAGACGCGCGGGAAUCCGUGAGACAAGAUGCGAGACUUCCUCAUCUGAUUAUCGAGU
RNAcentral lists this small RNA (70 nucleotides) under Sinorhizobium meliloti 2011. RNAcentral's name for it is "putative ncRNA". Lineage: Bacteria; Pseudomonadati; Pseudomonadota; Alphaproteobacteria; Hyphomicrobiales; Rhizobiaceae. The record is from RNAcentral.